UAAUGCAAGUCGAGCGGACAGAUGGGAGCUUGCUCCCUGAUGUUAGCGGCGGACGGGUGAGUAACACGUGGGUAACCUGCCUGUAAGACUGGGAUAACUCCGGGAAACCGGGGCUAAUACCGGAUGCUUGUUUGAACCGCAUGGUUCAAACAUAAAAGGUGGCUUCGGCUACCACUUACAGAUGGACCCGCGGCGCAUUAGCUAGUUGGUGAGGUAAUGGCUCACCAAGGCGACGAUGCGUAGCCGACCUGAGAGGGUGAUCGGCCACACUGGGACUGAGACACGGCCCAGACUCCUACGGGAGGCAGCAGUAGGGAAUCUUCCGCAAUGGACGAAAGUCUGACGGAGCAACGCCGCGUGAGUGAUGAAGGUUUUCGGAUCGUAAAGCUCUGUUGUUAGGGAAGAACAUGUAUCGUUCGUAUAGGGCGGUACCUUGACGGUACGUGACCAGAAAGCCACGGCUAACUACGUGCCAGCAGCCGCGGUAAUACGUAGGUGGCAAGCGUUGUCCGGAAAUUAUUGGGCGUAAGGGGCUCGCAGGCGGUCUCUUAAUUCUGAUGUGUAUAGCCCCCGCGCCACCGUGCGACGGGGGUGGAUUC
Molecule: ribosomal RNA, 599 nt
Filed under: Bacillus subtilis
Lineage: Bacteria; Bacillati; Bacillota; Bacilli; Caryophanales; Bacillaceae
Description: bacterial SSU rRNA
Rfam family: Bacterial small subunit ribosomal RNA
Source: RNAcentral